UACGGAGGGUGCAAGCGUUAUCCGGAAUCAUUGGGUUUAAAGGGUCCGCAGGCGGUCUAAUAAGUCAGUGGUGAAAGCCUACAGCUCAACUGUAGAACUACGCCAUUGAUACUGUUAGACUUGAAUUCGGUCGAAGUGGGCGGAAUGGUGACAGUGUAGCGGUGAAAUGCUUAGAUAUGUCACAGAACACCAUAGCCGAAGGCAGCUCACUAGGCCUGGAUUGA
RNAcentral lists this ribosomal RNA (224 nucleotides) under uncultured bacterium. Its description in RNAcentral is "partial 16S ribosomal RNA". It matches the Rfam family "Bacterial small subunit ribosomal RNA", at positions 524 to 743 of the family's 1533-position model. The record is from RNAcentral.